CUGGUUUAAUGUAAUAAGCAUGUUAGCUUUUCGUGCUAACUGUGAUCUAUGAUCAACCAGC
RNAcentral lists this transfer RNA (61 nucleotides) under Schyzocotyle nayarensis. RNAcentral's name for it is "tRNA-Glu". Lineage: Eukaryota; Metazoa; Platyhelminthes; Cestoda; Bothriocephalidea; Bothriocephalidae. The record is from RNAcentral.